Molecule: ribosomal RNA, 275 nt
Filed under: uncultured bacterium
Lineage: Bacteria
Description: partial 16S ribosomal RNA
Rfam family: Bacterial small subunit ribosomal RNA
Source: RNAcentral
AUACGGGGGGGGCAAGCGUUAUUCGGAAUUAUUGGGCGUAAAGCGCACGUAGGCGGCUUGACAAGUCAAAUGGUGAAAUCCCUCGGCUCAACCGAGGAACUGCCUUUGAAACUGUCAGGCUUGAGGCCGGGAGAGGGUAGCGGAAUUCCCAGUGUAGCGGUGAAAUGCGUAGAUAUUGGGAGGAACACCGGUGGCGAAGGCGGCUACCUGGACCGGUUCUGACGCUGAGGUGCGAAAGCGUGGGUAGCAAACAGGAUUAGAAACCCUAGUAGUCC